CCCGACAGCUCUCUGAGCCCCAUUGAUUGGGGUUUCUAUGGCAGUCACUUUAUUUCGGCAUGGUUGAUUAAAUAAUUGGCCACUGGUGAUUGAAGUCCUGCCCCAGCAGCUCUCUGGAGGCCCAGCCUGGGGCUGAAAGCUCCAGCCCUCCAAUCACAUGGUUGCUUCCUCUGGCAACCAGCCCCAUCCUGAAGCUGUCUAGGGGUCCACGAAGAGUCACUUCAUUAGCACACACUCAGUAUGGCUGGAAGGGGAUUGUUAUGAGUAACAAAAGACGCUCCCUCACCCCUGUCAUUCAGGAGAUUCCAGAGGUUUCAGACGCUCAGCGUCAGGAACAGGGACAAAGACCAAAUGUCCAUUUCGUAUCAUCACAGGGAUUCCAUGUAUACAGGCAUCAAGAUUUACUUAACCCACCAUUACAAAAAAUUUAAUUAUCUUAAUUUGUUCCUGUUUCUACUUACUCGAUUAACAAUUACAUCCCCAGUAUAUGAUUUUGUGCAGUGCCCUCUGGUGCAAGAUUGGUGCCCGACGUGGGACUCACAACUCGAGGAAGGGCGGAAACCGCGAAGGACCCAGCUACGUGGUGCUGCCUCCCUCGGCAACCGGGCGAGGUGGGUGCUCGGUGGGUGCUCGGUGGCGCCACCGUGUGGAAGUUUGGGAAACAGAAAACCAAGUCUCUGCGCUCAGGGCCAGAGUUUCAUCCUGGGCCUCUGACUGGGGCCAACUGUAACAGGAACAGCCCUGACUGUAAGUCAAAAUUGUAAAGUCCCCCUUGGCCAGAGAACCUUCCUGCAGUGGCCUCCACUGCUUUCUCCAGCUUGCCAGUUUUAACCUACAGGGCCAAGCCUCUUAAACUUGGGUGAGGUGAGGAAUGAUCAUGGCCAACGUGAAAUUUGGUUGAAUAGAUACAUUUCUCGGGGUACACAAGGGUCACUUCCCAGCACUGUCUGUGUGUGUGGCCUCCGAGAAAGCAACCUCCUUUCUCAGGCGAACAGAAUUCACACUAAAUCCUCCCAGCAAACCCAUUCUAGACGGGAUGGUGGGUGUUAGUCCAAACUGCACCAUUUUGUAAGCCCCCUGCCAUUUUGCGGAGCCUCGUCAGAGUGAAACAUUCCAUGUGGAUUCGGGCCUGACCACAAGGCACAAGAACACCCGUAUCAUACCCUGCCAGGCAAAGGCCCAACUGAGGGAACAUCCCUAUCGUAUCCUGCAGGGCAAAGGAACA
Molecule: long non-coding RNA, 1225 nt
Filed under: Macaca mulatta (Rhesus monkey)
Lineage: Eukaryota; Metazoa; Chordata; Mammalia; Primates; Cercopithecidae
Description: lncRNA (ENSMMUG00000052341.1)
Source: RNAcentral